GAAAUGCGAUAAGUAAUGUGAAUUGCAGAAUUCAGUGAAUCAUCGAAUCUUUGAACGCACAUUGCGCCCGUCAGCACUCUGGCGGGCAUGCCUGUUCGAGCGUCAUUUCAACCCUCAGAACCCCUUGCGGGAUCUGGCGUUGGGGAUUGGCAUCCAGCCAGCCCCGAAAUCUAGUGGCGGUCCCUCCGCGACCUCCCCUGUGCAGUAGCGAUACCUCGCAGCGGGACAGCGGUCUGACCACGCCGUAAAACCCCCAACUUCUCAAGGUUGACCUCGAAUCAGGUAGGAAUACCCGCUGAACUUAAGC
RNAcentral lists this unclassified non-coding RNA (307 nucleotides) under plant metagenome. RNAcentral describes it as "partial contains 5.8S ribosomal RNA, internal transcribed spacer 2, and large subunit ribosomal RNA". The stretch from base 1 to 105 matches the Rfam family "5.8S ribosomal RNA", at positions 50 to 154 of the family's 154-position model. The record is from RNAcentral.